CCUGUAGCAGCCAGGAGCAGCCUGCACUCCAGGCGUGUAUUGGACACAGUAGUGUCGGAGCCCGGCCCGGGGCUGCCCUGGUACAGCCGUGUUGUGUACGUGGACGAUCAGGUCAUCUAUGUCUACACCAGCGGGAUGCAGAGGGCGGAGCCUCGCACAGCGUGGAUGGCACAGAACGAGGGUCCGGAGUUCUGGGACGAGAGGAUCUGGUGGGCACAGCGCCACCAGAAAUGGUUCAAAGCAAGUCUGAACACCCUGGGUCAGCUCUACAACCAGAGCGAGGGGGACACAUUUCCGGGGUUUUCCCUGCUCCUAGAAGGACUAGAAGUUACUGCUUUAAGAAAAGAGAGCUGAGAUGCUCCUCUAAUCCCAUGAGUCCAGGAACUGGGGAUUUAAUAAAACCACCCGCUAUCAUGAGACACACAGUAAAGUCACAAAAGCAGGCAGUGCUGCAUUCACCCAGCCCUGGGGAGAAGCUGUUCACCGAUGAACCUCCUUCAUUGUUCGCUUUGUCUUAUUUCCCAGGUGAGUUUGUUUAAGGUCAGAUUCCUCUUCACUCCGCAGAGUGAGGGACUGACAUCGACUUGAGCUGGAGAGUUAGUGACAGAAUCAGCCCCUGCAACGUGCAGAGACUCCCAGGCUUCCUGACUCCUGGCAGCACAAACCCCUGCCCGUGUCCCAGAGUUGGAGCCCCCAGGGUCAGGCAGGUUCCCCUGCACACUAUCGAUAGAUGUGUAAAGAGCCGUUCUUCCUGCUCAGUCCCUGAUGUGUGGGGCUAUAGCCACCUGGCCAGGCCCCUGGAUUGUGCUGUUAAACUUAGCACGGGAUGAUCCAUAAGCGUUCAGUGCCUGGCGCUGCUGAACUGUUCCUGGCAGGCGAGGGUCUCUGAUGUAAUUCCUCUGCCCUUCCUGACAGGGGACUGGCGAGUAAAGGUCCCUGAUUCCCCUGUGUCAGUGGUACUGGCCUGUGACAUUGGUGCUCACCCAGGAGUGUCCCCAAUCCCUCCUGGUUCGCAGCAAUGAGAACUGAUUCCUGUCCUGGACAUCUGGGUUCUCGGUAGCCCUGUCCCAGAACUAAGCGACAGGGCGGAGGGUUGCCAAGUGUCUGCCCCCCUAGCACGCCCCCUCUGUAGCUAGUUUAGCCCUCUCCUGACUAGUCUCGCCCAUUGGUCCCCUGCUGCUGAGCCUGUCCAGCCUGACCUGCUCACCCGGACACUGGCCUCCCCAGUGCUGAGAGAGGGGCUCCGCUCACCCAUCCCUAAACCUGUGCUGGGGAGCUGCUGUUCUGUCCCCACUGCCAUCUCCCCAAUUACUGUCCCAACUGCCCCCUCCUGCCCUCCUCCCGCCAUUUACCCCCUCCUUGCAGUCCUGGGGCUGCCAGCUCGCCGGAGACUGUCCUGAGUCCUGCAUCUUGGCCAACAACGGUGUUCCCCACUCUAGCUGCGUCUGUCCCCAACACGCACAUGGGGGAAUUUGUGGUCUAGUCCCUCUGAGACCCCAUUGGUGCCCACAUUCUGCUAAUCCCUGUGGAGUCAGCAUGUUCACUACCACCAUUGCUGGCAGUACAACAGUUGGUGCCAGCAGUGCAGGCAAACAGAAGGGAGCAUGAUGCCCCGAGCUCCCGUUUGGUACCAGGCCCCUUGCUCUCUGCUUAUGUCGAAGGCCCCAUCUCGGCCCCGAUCCCUAGAUCCUCAGCACCAUCCCUUGGAGCCAACGGGUACCACUCCCCCCUCAUCCCCACAAGAUGACUCAUCAUCCAAGUUGGAGUUUGAAUCUUGCACCCAGCCAAGGGACUGGUACCAGUACCCCACCAGUCAGCCCUAUGCAACGGUGGAUCCCAGGGUUGGUGUUCCUCCGAGAGCCUGGCUCAGUAGGCAAUGGCCCAUGCAGAUGCAAUGGCCUUUUUGGAACCCCUGGGGUUUUUGUCUGCUGCCUGGCCCCCUGUCUAGGCACUCCUACUCAGUGGUGUCUGAGAGAAGGAUUCCUCUGUCACACCAAACAGCAGCUGAUCCAGACUACGACACAGAGGCAGGUACUGACACUCAGAACCUGGAGCUACGGGAUCCGGUUGGUGCAGAAGGAGAGGAGGAAGGUCCCAUGCAGGUGCAGACUGCCUCCUCCUCCUCGCCAGAAGAGGCAGGGAUGGGUGUUUCCCCUCCCCAGGACACUUCAAGGCUCACCAGAAGUUAUUGAAGAAGGUGGCCUUGAACUUAGGGGGAGGUGGUUAAAAAGUCUUCCAACAGCCCGGUCAACAUCUGGGCUGCAAUGGCCCCACUGAAGGUAGCUCUGCUUCUGUGAGGCUAUCAUGGGUCCAAUUAAAACUCUGUGGCAGACCCCUUCCUCACUGCCC
Molecule: long non-coding RNA, 2349 nt
Organism: Dermochelys coriacea (leatherback sea turtle)
Lineage: Eukaryota; Metazoa; Chordata; Testudines; Dermochelyidae
Exons: 3
Source: RefSeq, a predicted model, not a curated record